This 485-nucleotide ribosomal RNA is filed under the name uncultured bacterium. RNAcentral describes it as "partial 16S ribosomal RNA". It matches the Rfam family "Bacterial small subunit ribosomal RNA", at positions 899 to 1397 of the family's 1533-position model. The record is from RNAcentral.
ACUCAAAUGAAUAGACGGGGGCCCGCACAAGCGGCGGAGCGUGUGGUUCAAUUCGAUGCAACGCGAAGAACCUUACCAGGGCUUGACAUGCUGGUGGUACGGAUCCGAAAGGUGAAGGACCCUUCGGGGAGCCAGCACAGGUGCUGCAUGGCUGUCGUCAGCUCGUGCCGUGAGGUGUUGGGUUAAGUCCCGCAACGAGCGCAACCCUCGCCGUCAGUUAUACCUCUCUGACGGGACCGCUGGGAUAAACCCAGAGGAAGGUGGGGACGAAGUCAAGUCAGCAUGGCCCUUACGUCCUGGGCUACACACACGCUACAAUGGCCGGUACAAUGGGUCGCCAAGGCGCGAGCCGGAGCUAAUCCCUCAAAGCCGGCCCCAGUUCAGAUUGCAGGCUGCAACUCGCCUGCAUGAAGGCGGAGUCGCUAGUAACCGCAGGUCAGCACACUGCGGUGAAUACGUUCCCGGGCCUUGUACACACCGCCCGU